RNAcentral lists this ribosomal RNA (469 nucleotides) under uncultured bacterium. Its description in RNAcentral is "bacterial SSU rRNA". It matches the Rfam family "Bacterial small subunit ribosomal RNA", at positions 33 to 507 of the family's 1533-position model. The record is from RNAcentral.
AGACGCUGGCGGCGUGCUUAACACAUGCAAGUCGAACGAAGCGGAUGAGGUGCUUGCACCGAGUCUGACUUAGUGGCGAACGGGUGAGUAACGCGUGAAGAACCUGCCUUUCAGUGGGGGACAACAGUUGGAAACGACUGCUAAUACCGCAUAAUGUUAUUUGGGGGCAUCCUCGAAUAACCAAAGAUUUAUUGCUGAAAGAUGGCUUCGCGUCUGAUUAGCUAGAUGGCGGGGUAACGGCCCACCAUGGCGACGAUCAGUAGCCGGACUGAGAGGUUGAACGGCCACAUUGGGACUGAGAUACGGCCCAGACUCCUACGGGAGGCAGCAGUGGGGAAUAUUGCGCAAUGGGGGAAACCCUGACGCAGCAACGCCGCGUGCAGGAAGAAGGUCUUCGGAUUGUAAACUGUUGUCGCAAGGGAAGAAGACAGUGACGGUACCUUGUGAGAAAGUCACGGCUAACUACGUG